Colias croceus (clouded yellow) is the source of this 880-nucleotide long non-coding RNA. RefSeq lists it as uncharacterized. The record is from RefSeq and is a predicted model, not a curated record. NCBI's taxonomy places the organism in Eukaryota, Metazoa, Arthropoda, Insecta, Lepidoptera, Pieridae. The transcript is spliced from 2 exons.
AUGUUAACUUCAGUUGUGAACAAGUUAAUAACGGCUGAGGUCAAUCAAUUAGAAUGUCGAAUUUAUCAGAAUUAUGAUUUAUUAAACCAUAAAAGUUAGGUAAUGUUGACAAUUUUCUUCAAGUACAAAAGUUUCUUUUGAUAUAUUGAGAUAUCAAGUAAAUAACUAAAGAAAGCAGACCAUCAAUAAUCGAUAAAAUGUGUAAAAUUGGUUCUCAAACCGAAAUCAGCAAGGAAAGUGACCUUCAACCAUCCGCUGUCCUUAAGGCUUGUUUGUUGUCGUUAUUAUCAAGGGCCACUGCUAUCGGUGACAGAUCUAAAAUUAUCGAAGCAUUUAUAAAAGUGGAAUCGCGAGGGGCGUGGCGCGUGGGCGGCCGGUCAGCGGGAGACACUCUUGUGUCCCCGGUCAGUUUUCCGAGGUGUCCUGUCCAGUGAGCACCAUGCCUAACCACGAGACUACCAGCCUGAUCGCCACCUACCUCAUCCUGGUGCUUCUGUUGGCCAGCCUGUGGCUCUUAUAUUCGGGCAUGUUCUGAGAUGAUGGUCGGGCAUAGACAACAAAAGAGACCAAUGAUGAAGGGAGGUUGACAAACUAAAUAAGUUAACUGUAAGAAACCGUAAUGUUAGUAACUUAGAUAAGUAUAUUUUAUACCCAAGCAUUUACGAAGACCGAAGAGCACACAGCGGCUAGGAAACAAAAUUUAUUAACACGAUGAUUAUAUUUCAGUGCUGGGCAUUCCAAUUAAUGAAAUUACUAAAAUACUUUUACGAGAAAGACAUCUAAAACUCAAAUUACAACGAUGUAACAUUUUUCUGUUUCAUAUUUAUCUAGAAUGUUAUCGUUAUUGUUAAGAACUAAUUUGUAAUAAAGGUUUUUUUUA